AUCAGAGUGGUUUAUCUGAAAGUUGGGAUGAGUAACAAUUUCUUUAAGUAAGACAACUGUGAAGUUUGUCACAAUGACGAACCAUUGCUCUGUAAGACUCAAUGCUGUUUGAUAGCAUUUUACCCAAGCAGAACUUCUUCCAAAAUUAGUCAAUCCUCUUAAACCCUGAGGUUUGCUUUAUCAACUGAGUUUAUGUAAUAUUCUCACUCCUUUGCUGACAUUUAAACAAUAUUCACAGUAUCUUCACCAGAAGAAGAUGCCAUUGCAAGAAAGCACUUUCUUUGCUUGUCCAUAAGCAAAUCCUCAACCAUGUAAGUUUCAUCAUGAGAUUAUAGUUAUUCAGUCACAUCUUCAGGCUCUGCUCCUAAUUCUGUUUUCCUGCUAUUUCCAGCACAUCUGUAGUGACUUCCUCCACUAAUAUCUUUAACCCCUUCCAAACUCUUAUUAAUGUUAGUUAAUAACCACAAAUGUUGUUGAUAGCAUCUAGAAUGGUAAAUCCUUUCCAGAAGGAAUUCAGUACAUUUUAUCAAGAUCCACAAGAGGAAUCACUAUCUGUGGCAGCUAUAGACUUAUGAAAUAUAUUUCUUAACUUGUAAGAUUUGAAAUGUGAAAUUACUACUUUAUCCAUGAGUUACAGAAUGGAUAUUGUAUUAGCAGGCAAAAAAAAAUUAAUCUCAUUGUACAUCUCCAUCAGAACUCUUGGGUGACCAGAUGCAUUGUCAAUUAGCAAUAAUAUUUUAAAAGGAAUCUUUUUGUCUGAACAUCAGUUCCCUACAGUGGGCUUAAAAUAUUCAAUAAGUCACAUUGUAAACAGAUGUGCUGCUAACAUUCAGGCUUUGUUGUGCUAUUUAAAGAGCAUAGACUGAGGAGAUUUAGUAUAAUUCUACAGGGCCCCUGGGCCUUCAGAAUGGCAAAUGAUCAUUUGUUUCAACUUUGAGUCACCAGCAGCAUUCGCCCCUAAAAAGACAGCCAGUAUAUCCUCUGAACUCUUGAAGUUAGGCAUUGAUAUCUCCUCUGCAGCUAUGAAAUUCUAGAUGGUACCUUGUUCCAAUAUAAGGCUGCUUCAUCUACACUGAAACUCUGUUGCUCAGUGCCAACACCUUGGUCAAUGACCUUAGCUGGACUUUGCAGGAAACUUGCUGCUGCCUCUCCAUCAGUACCUGCUGCUUCCCUGGCACCUUUUUAUUAUGGAGUUGGCCUCUUAAGCCUCAUGAAUGACAUCUGCUGACUGCAGACUUCUCUUCUGCAGCUUCCUCACCCCUCUCAGCCUUCAUAUCAUUGAAGAGAAUUAGGCCCUCGCUCUAAAUUAGACUUUGGCUUAAGGGAAUGUUAUGGCUGGUUUGAUCUUCUACCUACCCACACCGCUUAUCUGUUAGAGUCUGUAAACAAGUCAAAAUAACACCUGGCAUUUUGCCAGGGGAAUGUUAGAGUUCGUAAACAAGUCUGGAUGGUGCCUGGCAAAAUGCCAGAGGGAGUGGUUUGAGAAGUAACAAAAGCAAGCCAUUAAGUGUGGAGAUUCCUGAUUGGUUGACUGAUGUAUCUAGUUUAUGCUAAUUAGAUAAGCUGUGUGGAAUGUAUAAAUACUGCUCCUGUCCUGCAAUAAACGGCUCCCACUCCUGCUGUAUCAAUCUACACAAGUUAUUCGUCACCCCCCGGUUAUUCUGCUGCAGUCGGACUGUGGCACUUAUCAGCAAUAGGCUGUUUCAUUUUCUUAUUUGUGUGUUCCCUGUGUACUUUUAAUUUCCUUCAAGAACUUUUCCUUCGCAUUCACAACUUGGCUCUUGGGUGCAAAAUGGGAAGAUUUCAGCUCAUCUUGGCUUUCUACAUGCCUUCUCCACAAAGCUUAAUCAUUUCUGGUAUUGGUUUAAAGUGAGACACAUGCCACUCUUCCUUUCACUUGAAUGCUGAGAGGCCAUUAUAGGGUUAUUAAUUGGCCUAAUUUAAAUUCUGUUUAUCUCAGGGAAAAGGUAAACCUGGGGGGAGGGAGAGAGAUGGUAAAUGACCAGCCAGAAUAACAGUAAGAACACUCACCACAAUUGUUAAGUUUGCAGUCAUAUGGGUGUGGUUCGUGGCACCCCAAGACAAUUACAAUAGAUCAAUGACCGCAGAUCACCACAGCAGAUAUAACAAUGAUGAAAAGGUUAAAAAUUGUGACAAUUACCAAAAAAUGUGACUUUGGGAUGUGAAGUGAGCACUCGUAUUGGAAAAAUAGCACUCAUAGACAUGCUUCUUGCUGGUUGCUUCAAACCUUUAAUUUAGAACACACACACACACACACACACACACAUAUACACACAUGAGAAGAAAACAUAAAAUGAGUUAUGUCUGUAAUGGUGAAAAAAUAUCCAUAUCUAAUAUCUGAUAACACUUAGGAAAGCUGCUCUGAGAAUAAUAGCAUGUCUUGCACAAAAUAAAAUUAUAAAUUUCAGGUAAACAUGGAUUUGAAUGAAGCAUUUUUCUGUAAUGCCAUUAAACUCUUACUCUAUCAAUAAGCGCCCCCCCCCACACACACACACAAAUGAAAG
Molecule: long non-coding RNA, 2525 nt
Filed under: Marmota monax (woodchuck)
Lineage: Eukaryota; Metazoa; Chordata; Mammalia; Rodentia; Sciuridae
Source: RNAcentral